UACGGAGGGGGCUAGCGUUGUUCGGAUUUACUGGGCGUAAAGGGCGCGUAGGCGGCUUGUCAAGUCACUUGUGAAGUCUCUGGGCUUAACCCAGAACGGCCAAGUGAAACUGACAUGCUAGAGUGCAGAAGGGGCAAUCGGAAUUCUUGGUGUAGCGGUGAAAUGCGUAGAUAUCAAGAGGAACACCUGAGGUGAAGACGGGUUGCUGGGCUGACACUGACGCUGAUGCGCGAAAGCCAGGGGAGCAAACGGG
This 253-nucleotide ribosomal RNA is filed under the name uncultured bacterium. Its description in RNAcentral is "partial 16S ribosomal RNA". It matches the Rfam family "Bacterial small subunit ribosomal RNA", at positions 524 to 776 of the family's 1533-position model. The record is from RNAcentral.